This 490-nucleotide ribosomal RNA is filed under the name uncultured bacterium. Its description in RNAcentral is "partial 16S ribosomal RNA". It matches the Rfam family "Bacterial small subunit ribosomal RNA", at positions 30 to 507 of the family's 1533-position model. The record is from RNAcentral.
AUUGAACGCUGGCGGCAGGCCUAACACAUGCAAGUCGAACGGUAACAGGAAACAGCUUGCUGUUUCGCUGACGAGUGGCGGACGGGUGAGUAAUGUCUGGGAAACUGCCUGAUGGAGGGGGAUAACUACUGGAAACGGUAGCUAAUACCGCAUAACGUCGCAAGACCAAAGAGGGGGACCUUCGGGCCUCUUGCCAUCGGAUGUGCCCAGAUGGGAUUAGCUAGUAGGUGGGGUAACGGCUCACCUAGGCGACGAUCCCUAGCCGGUCUGAGAGGAUGACCAGCCACACUGGAACUGAGACGCGGUCCAGACUCCUACGGGAGGCAGCAGUGGGGAAUAUUGCACGAUGGGCGCAAGCCUGAUGCAGCCAUGCCGCGUGUAUGAAGAAGGCCUUCGGGUUGUAAAGUACUUUCAGCGGGGAUGAAGGGAGUAAAGUUAAUACCUUUGCUCAUUGACGUUACCCGCAGAAGAAGCACCGGCUAACUCCGUG